GGGGGUGUAGCUCAGUCGGAAGAGUGCUUGCCUAACAUGCAUGUAGUCCUGGGUUCGACUCCUAUCACUCUAU
RNAcentral lists this transfer RNA (73 nucleotides) under Mus musculus (house mouse). It matches the Rfam family "tRNA". From Rfam's summary of the family: Transfer RNA (tRNA) molecules are approximately 80 nucleotides in length. Their secondary structure includes four short double-helical elements and three loops (D, anti-codon, and T loops). Lineage: Eukaryota; Metazoa; Chordata; Mammalia; Rodentia; Muridae. The record is from Rfam by way of RNAcentral.